UGGACCCGUAAUCCGGGUUGCGGACAGUGUCUGGUGGGUAGUUUGACUGGGGCGGUCUCCUCCUAAAGAGUAACGGAGGAGCACGAAGGUUGGCUAAUCCUGGUCGGACAUCAGGAGGUUAGUGCAAUGGCAUAAGCCAGCUUGACUGCGAGCGUGACGGCGCGAGCAGGUGCGAAAGCAGGUCAUAGUGAUCCGGUGGUUCUGAAUGGAAGGGCCAUCGCUCAACGGAUAAAAGGUACUCCGGGGAUAACAGGCUGAUACCGCCCAAGAGUUCAUAUCGACGGCGGUGUUUGGCACCUCGAUGUCGGCUCAUCACAUCCUGGGGCUGAAGUAGGUCCCAAGGGUAUGGCUGUUCGCCAUUUAAAGUGGUACGCGAGCUGGGUUUAGAACGUCGUGAGACAGUUCGGUCCCUAUCUGCCGUGGGCGCUGGAGAACUGAGGGGGGCUGCUCCUAGUACGAGAGGACCGGAGUGGACGCAUCACUGGUGUUCGGGUUGUCAUGCCAAUGGCACUGCCCGGUAGCUAAAUGCGGAAGAGAUAAGUGCUGAAAGCAUCUAAGCACGAAACUUGCCCCGAGAUGAGUUCUCCCUGAGACUUAGAGUCUCCUGAAGGAACGUUGAA
This 620-nucleotide ribosomal RNA is filed under the name Salmonella enterica subsp. enterica serovar Mikawasima. Its description in RNAcentral is "partial 23S ribosomal RNA". It matches the Rfam family "Bacterial large subunit ribosomal RNA", at positions 2228 to 2842 of the family's 2925-position model. Lineage: Bacteria; Pseudomonadati; Pseudomonadota; Gammaproteobacteria; Enterobacterales; Enterobacteriaceae. The record is from RNAcentral.